GAUGAACGCUGGCGGCGUGCCUAAUACAUGCAAGUCGAGCGAACAGACGAGGAGCUUGCUCCUCUGACGUUAGCGGCGGACGGGUGAGUAACACGUGGAUAACCUACCUAUAAGACUGGGAUAACUUCGGGAAACCGGAGCUAAUACCGGAUAAUAUAUUGAACCGCAUGGUUCAAUAGUGAAAGACGGUUUUGCUGUCACUUAUAGAUGGAUCCGCGCCGCAUUAGCUAGUUGGUAAGGUAACGGCUUACCAAGGCAACGAUGCGUAGCCGACCUGAGAGGGUGAUAGGCCACACUGGAAGUGAGACACGGUCCAGACUCCUACGGGGGGCAGCAGUAGGGAAUCUUCCGCAAUGGACGAAAGCCUGACGGAGCAACGCCGCGUGAGUGAUGAAGGUCUUCGGAUCGUAAAACUCUGUUAUUAGGGAAGAACAAAUGUGUAAGUAACUAUGCACGUCUUGACGGUACCUAAUCAGAAAGCCACGGCUAACUACGUG
This 497-nucleotide ribosomal RNA is filed under the name uncultured bacterium. RNAcentral describes it as "partial 16S ribosomal RNA". It matches the Rfam family "Bacterial small subunit ribosomal RNA", at positions 28 to 507 of the family's 1533-position model. The record is from RNAcentral.